AUGCUCGCUUCAGCAGCAUAUGUACUAAAAUUGGAACAAUACAGAGACGAUUAGCACGGUCCUUGCACAAGGAUGACAUGCAAAUUCAUGAAGUCUUCCGUAUUUUC
Molecule: small nuclear RNA, 107 nt
Organism: Octodon degus (degu)
Lineage: Eukaryota; Metazoa; Chordata; Mammalia; Rodentia; Octodontidae
Source: Ensembl